RNAcentral lists this non-coding RNA (26 nucleotides) under Homo sapiens (human). The record is from RNAcentral. Lineage: Eukaryota; Metazoa; Chordata; Mammalia; Primates; Hominidae.
UGGUAGAACCUAGGUAGUAACUGAAC